RNAcentral lists this long non-coding RNA (1723 nucleotides) under Anas platyrhynchos platyrhynchos (common mallard). RNAcentral describes it as "lncRNA (ENSAPLG00000024525.1)". The record is from RNAcentral. Lineage: Eukaryota; Metazoa; Chordata; Aves; Anseriformes; Anatidae.
AUGUGUACGUUUCCGUUCGCGUCUAAUAAUUCAUUUAUCUCCCUUUCGUGCAGAUCGGGAGGAAGCAGACACACACAAACACGCACACAAAGAAGUGCCGAGCCAUGCAAAUCGAGCGAGAGCACAAAUCAACUUCUGAUUACAUCGGCUCCGAUUUUUCCCCCCUUCGUGCAACACAGCAGACGCACACAUUUUUUUUUUUUUUUUUCAGCACAAAUGAUGCUAUGUGAUGAGGAGGGAGGAAGAGAGGGGAGGAGGGGGGGGAAACCCUGCUCUGCCGAAGAACAGAAAUUCGAAGAAUUAAAAUUGGGAGGAGAGAGAAACCGGGACUUUUCUUUCCCCUCCUCCCCCCCCUCCUUUGAAGCUGAGAGGAGGGCUACUGCCCCGGGACACUGCAGGAGUUUAGGAAAAAAAAAAAAAAAAUCUGAGAAAGAUCAAAAACCGGCUCCGCAAGUCCCAGCGGCGACCUCUCCCCCCCGCCGCAUUCCCCAAAGUGCGCGGCGCAAACCCGGAGCGGAGCCGGGCGAGGCGGCGGAGGGGACCCGGGGGGGUCCCGGCUGGUGGCCCUGUCACCCCCGCUGCCUGUCCCCGUCCUGCUCCGGGACGGGAGGCAGAGCCCAGCUUCCUUCCCUACCCGUUUCCCUGCUUCUUUUUCCCUCAGCGCAGCCCCGGCUUCAGGCUCAGCACGGAGAGGGCUGGAGGAGAUUGCGGGAAUUGCGCUGAGGCGAUGCUGAAAGCCUCCGCGAUGCCCCACUUGGCACCUUCCUGGUGUGUCCCACCCAGCAAGGGCACAAGGAAGGCUCCAGCUCUGGCUCCCCUGCUAAAGAAACUCUCAGAUGCAGGCUGUCUUGGCUGUUUUUCUGAUGGAGAUGAGAUCAUCUCAGCUUCACGCUGCGUCUUCCCUCCUGACAGUCGCGUGCUGGCUGCGUGCGUGCAUGGACAUGGAGUUCCUGCUGGAAAGGCAGUGCUGAUGUGAGGCUCUGGUUGAGAAAUGCACCUCGCAGAUGACUGGCUUGGAAACAAUGCAGGGAAAAUGAAAGGGGGAAUUAAGCAAAUGCUUUAUUUUGUAUUUUUGUAUUAUUUUUUUUUUACCCCUUCUUUAGUUUUUCUAAUCAUCAAAGCAAGGUCAUAAUAUACCUGUGCCCCUCUUCUGCCUGCCUCUGAUUUUGCAAGGGCAGCUGUAGAAUCUGGCAGUAGAUAAACCUACGUCUGGCAUUCAUGAGCCUGGAUUAUCAAAUCUAGCUCCUUCCCAGCUGUGGGUUCUCCCCAAGUGGAAAUAUUAAAAGAGGAGGGAGAGCUUGUAUCGAAGUCUGAACUGGACACAUGCUUAAUAUGCAAAACUUGAAAACAUAUGGAUGGAGUAGAAACUCUGCCCAUAACUGGUCAGGAGGAUUUGCUUGGGUCUGGAGUUUCCCUUGCGAGAGCCUCUGCAUUGUGGAGCUCACCCCAUGCUCCUGAGCAAGCACUCGGCCCCGGCAUCAGAGCCGGCCAAGAGUGAUGGAGAGAUGCAAAUGAAAAGCGAGUGGGUCUUCCUGAGAAAUCUUUGAACACGCAUCCAAAAAAUGAAUGUGUUUUCUUCUAAUUAGGAGCGUUCGUUAUAUCUCAUGGCGAUCUACAAAACAAGCCACAUGCCAGUUAUUGUUGGUACAAGCACAACAAUUCUGACUGUGGGAAAAAAAUAUUUCCAGGCAUGUAGGACACAAAAUGUACUAAAGGCAUUUUA